This 499-nucleotide ribosomal RNA is filed under the name Staphylococcus aureus. RNAcentral's name for it is "partial 23S ribosomal RNA". It matches the Rfam family "Bacterial large subunit ribosomal RNA", at positions 943 to 1447 of the family's 2925-position model. Lineage: Bacteria; Bacillati; Bacillota; Bacilli; Caryophanales; Staphylococcaceae. The record is from RNAcentral.
AUUCAGACAAACUCCGAAUGCCAAUUAAUUUAACUUGGGAGUCAGAACAUGGGUGAUAAGGUCCGUGUUCGAAAGGGAAACAGCCCAGACCACCAGCUAAGGUCCCAAAAUAUAUGUUAAGUGGAAAAGGAUGUGGCGUUGCCCAGACAACUAGGAUGUUGGCUUAGAAGCAGCCAUCAUUUAAAGAGUGCGUAAUAGCUCACUAGUCGAGUGACACUGCGCCGAAAAUGUACCGGGGCUAAACAUAUUACCGAAGCUGUGGAUUGUCCUUUGGACAAUGGUAGGAGAGCGUUCUAAGGGCGUUGAAGCAUGAUCGUAAGGACAUGUGGAGCGCUUAGAAGUGAGAAUGCCGGUGUGAGUAGCGAAAGACGGGUGAGAAUCCCGUCCACCGAUUGACUAAGGUUUCCAGAGGAAGGCUCGUCCGCUCUGGGUUAGUCGGGUCCUAAGCUGAGGCCGACAGGCGUAGGCGAUGGAUAACAGGUUGAUAUUCCUGUACCAC